Neogale vison (American mink) is the source of this 235-nucleotide long non-coding RNA. RefSeq lists it as uncharacterized. The record is from RefSeq and is a predicted model, not a curated record. NCBI's taxonomy places the organism in Eukaryota, Metazoa, Chordata, Mammalia, Carnivora, Mustelidae. The transcript has 3 exons.
AUUUCCAUUAGACAUUAGGGAUUUCUUUGAAGAACAGAAAGCAAACAUCACUUGUAAAGUGAGGAGCAAGCUAGAGAAUGGAGAGGGAAGAGAAAUGAUCGUUUCCAUGCUGAACUGUCCUGGGAAACAAGGUGAAGAUCACUUCUUUCCAUGAAAAGCUUUGCAGCAACAGGAAGGAAAAUGGGACAUAGGUGAGUGAGAGAGAAAGGAAGAACAAGGCGGAAGGCAGUGAAAG